AUACGAUGAUGUGGACAUUAAACCAGCAUACCCUUGAACCUCUCCCACAUUUCUUGUAGUGUUUCUAUUGGUCUCUACCUGAAGCUUAAUACAUCAUCAAUUUGUUU
Molecule: small nucleolar RNA, 107 nt
Filed under: Nicotiana sylvestris (wood tobacco)
Lineage: Eukaryota; Viridiplantae; Streptophyta; Magnoliopsida; Solanales; Solanaceae
Description: Plant small nucleolar RNA R71
Rfam family: Plant small nucleolar RNA R71
About the family: R71 is a member of the C/D box family of snoRNAs containing the C (UGAUGA) and D (CUGA) box motifs. Multiple nearly identical copies of this snoRNA have been identified in Arabidopsis, and it is thought to function as a 2'-O-ribose methylation guide for 18S ribosomal RNA.
Source: Rfam by way of RNAcentral